Molecule: long non-coding RNA, 1485 nt
Filed under: Bos taurus (domestic cattle)
Lineage: Eukaryota; Metazoa; Chordata; Mammalia; Artiodactyla; Bovidae
Description: long non-coding RNA NONBTAT025225
Source: RNAcentral
AAGAUCAUUAAAUGUUGUGUCUAAAUAUUCAUGGCUUAUAUUUACACCUAGAGAGACUACAAGAUACCUCAGAUGAAAAGUCAUUUUGAACUCAAAACAAUAGCAAAUUGUUCUUAGUUGAUUACUCUAGUUAAUUCCAAUCUUUAAAAAUUGAAGAAUGUUCAAUAUGAAAGAAAGAUUAAGAGAAUAUGCAUAUAUACUUACUUUUACUGGAAAGGAAAAGAGGAGAAGGAAGGAAAUAGAUUAUGAUCAUCCUUCCUCUGAAACAAUUAUAAGAUAAAUGAGGAAGUUCUUUUGUGUUUCUAAAUCUUCUUCUUAUCUAGAAAUCUAUAUAUUGCAACCACUUCAUCUAUGAACCCUCUUUACAGAAGUCUUAUCUCAACUGGGUUUUAUAUUUGAUGUCUUUUCAUAUUUUUCACUAUCCUGACAUCACAUGACAAGAAUUGAUCAAGCUUAUACAUUCUAACUGCAUUUCCAACUUUCUCCCUUCACCUCUGUAUUUCACUUGCAGAUACUGUUUUCUGAAUUUUACAAUCACAGUUUUGGUCCUUAACAAUCCCCCCCCCCCCCCGCCCGUUUUUGUUUUGUUUUGUUUUUUACUAUUUUGACAGAUUUCCUCAUAGUUUUAGUAAACAGAUAUAUUAGAUAUUGGUUCUUGGUAUGACAAGUUUUGAUUUUUAUCCUUUGCAGUUUAUCUUUUUAUUCAUACUAAAUCGAUGCUAUUCCUUUUCUUCCACUACACCUUCUCCUACAUUACAGUAGUUCAAUCCAACAGGUUUAUAGUUUUCUACCAGGACUUCUGUUAAGAAGACACUGAAAAUAAAAGGUGGGUAAGUGGUAUUGAAGAAGGAACCAGAAGUUGAAAAGUAUAGAUAUUUGAAAGUGUUUUCAGAAGACAACCAGUCUUUAGUGACUUUUUGGUGGAUAUUGUGUGCACUGAUACUCAGUGUUGAUCAUGUUUCUUGUCAAUUACUUAAAAAUAUGGCAUUCAGGGUUAAUGGAUAGUUUGGAAAAUCUUCUAUAGAGAAGAGACUAAAUGGCUCCUGCUCAGAAACAAGGCAGGAUUUUCUUGUGUUUAUAUCCUUGACAGUCUGUGCAGUGGAAGCCAUUUGCCUCUCUGGCCUCCUUUUUUGUCAGUCUUCAAGAAUGUGUUUAGUACCACUUCAGAAAUAUAGACUUCAAGCUCAGUACACAUAGAAUAUUAAAGAUACUAUACGUUGUAUUGUCUUCUACUCAAUUUUAUUUUUUUCAUGAAUUAUUUUUAUGAUUUAAUCCUAACAAUAUGUUCUUUGAUAAAUGUAUUAAUUACAUUCACUGUUUAAUGCAUGUAGAAAUUUUACAAAGUAGGUCACUUUUUAUUAUAUUCUUAAGCCCAUAGUAUCAAUGUUUCAUUUAAUGUCUAGAUUAUUUCAUGUAAUGUCUAGAUUGUUUCAUGCCUUUGUUGAUUUCUGAGGACAAAUGGACUUCUGUUAAAUAAAAUGUCGC